GGUGGUAUGGUCUAGGGGUAGGAUACCGCAUUGUGGUGAAACUCAAUGCUGCGUUGGCCCCGGUUCGAAUCCGGGUACCGCCA
RNAcentral lists this transfer RNA (83 nucleotides) under Penicillium salamii. Its description in RNAcentral is "tRNA-His". It matches the Rfam family "tRNA". Rfam says of the family: Transfer RNA (tRNA) molecules are approximately 80 nucleotides in length. Their secondary structure includes four short double-helical elements and three loops (D, anti-codon, and T loops). Further hydrogen bonds mediate the characteristic L-shaped molecular structure. tRNAs have two regions of fundamental functional importance: the anti-codon, which is responsible for specific mRNA codon recognition, and the 3' end, to which the tRNAs corresponding amino acid is attached (by aminoacyl-tRNA synthetases). tRNAs cope with the degeneracy of the genetic code in two manners: having more than one tRNA (with a specific anti-codon) for a particular amino acid; and 'wobble' base-pairing, i.e. permitting non-standard base-pairing at the 3rd anti-codon position. The record is from RNAcentral. Lineage: Eukaryota; Fungi; Ascomycota; Eurotiomycetes; Eurotiales; Aspergillaceae.